UGUUUGAUAUUUUGGCUAUGCCAAAUAACUUAAACCUUUAAUUUUUACUCGUUAUGGUGGAGAACUAGGCUUUCGUUUCGAUGAAGGGCGCAGCGAACUGCGAUAAUGAUAGUCUAUCGUACCUGGACUCUGCGUUCCCGAAUGCCAGACCUGCCACGUCAACAGACGUGAAUAUAGGUUUGAGCUCCAGUUAGAAUUAUCACCUUGUAUUUAGUACAUUCUACUCGAAUAGAAAAAUACAAAGUGAGUGUCUUCACUGGAAUCAGAUCUGUAUGGCGACCCGCUGAACUUAAGCAUAU
RNAcentral lists this unclassified non-coding RNA (299 nucleotides) under Vahlkampfia sp. AK-2007. Its description in RNAcentral is "partial contains ITS1, 5.8S ribiosomal RNA, ITS2, 28S ribosomal RNA". The stretch from base 46 to 189 matches the Rfam family "5.8S ribosomal RNA". The record is from RNAcentral. Lineage: Eukaryota; Heterolobosea; Eutetramitea; Acrasida; Vahlkampfiidae.